Molecule: long non-coding RNA, 414 nt
Organism: Pseudophryne corroboree (corroboree frog)
Lineage: Eukaryota; Metazoa; Chordata; Amphibia; Anura; Myobatrachidae
Exons: 3
Source: RefSeq, a predicted model, not a curated record
UGCCAUUAAUCAUGGCAGUGCACUCUAAACUAAGAAGUUACCUGAGGUCCGAAAAGGGGGCGGGGCUAGACGGCACUGUACUACACAGUGCCUUGCCAGUUGCCAGCAGUAUGGGAGAAUGGAGGGAAUGUGAGCAGCAGCAUGGCCAAAACAGAUUAAGGACCAGCAAGUCCGAAACGCGUAGGUGAACAAUUAGCAAGUGAAGCCCUGACGUCACUCAGCCUGCGCCAGACGGGUGAGGGGACGAAAGAACAAACAGAAGUAUCGGGAACCAGCCGAAGGGCCGUGAUCCACACGGGAGAGCCGAAGUUUGAGCGUGACUCAAGGUCCCCGUUGGUUCCCCGCUUCCGGUGACGUCAACGGAAGUGUACAGACGGGUCCCAGGGCUGCGGCCGGCGGUGGGCGGGAGAGCAG